Molecule: microRNA, 23 nt
Filed under: Homo sapiens (human)
Lineage: Eukaryota; Metazoa; Chordata; Mammalia; Primates; Hominidae
Description: hsa-miR-3944-3p
Source: miRBase by way of RNAcentral
UUCGGGCUGGCCUGCUGCUCCGG